This 500-nucleotide ribosomal RNA is filed under the name uncultured bacterium. RNAcentral's name for it is "bacterial SSU rRNA". It matches the Rfam family "Bacterial small subunit ribosomal RNA", at positions 9 to 506 of the family's 1533-position model. The record is from RNAcentral.
GAGUUUGAUCGUGGCUCAGGACGAACGCUGGCGGCGCGCCUAACACAUGCAAGUCGAACGAGCGAGAGAGAGCUUGCUUUCUCGAGCGAGUGGCGAACGGGUGAGUAACGCGUGAGGAACCUGCCUCAAAGAGGGGGACAACAGUUGGAAACGACUGCUAAUACCGCAUAACGCGUAGAGAUCGCAUGGUCUUUACGCCAAAGAUUUAUCGCUGAAAGAUGGCCUCGCGUCUGAUUAGCUAGUUGGUGAGGUAACGGCCCACCAAGGCGACGAUCAGUAGCCGGACUGAGAGGUUGAACGGCCACAUUGGGACUGAGAUACGGCCCAGACUCCUACGGGAGCAGCAGUGGGGAAUAUUGGGCAAUGGGCGCAAGCCUGACCCAGCAACGCCGCGUGAAGGAAGAAGGCUUUCGGGUUGUAAACUUCUUUUAUACGGGAAUAAAGUGGGGCACGUGUGCCUUUUUGUAUGUACCGUAUGAAUAAGGAUCGGCUAACUCCGU